GACGAACCACGUGAUGAGAUUACACCACAAAGGAUGCUUAUCCAUAGGCCGAUAAACCCUACCCGUCCUGCUAACGAGAGGUGCACUACAGAGGACCAACGUAACUGUCACCUACGCGGCCUACCACACGAUCCAGCUAGACAGGGGAUAUCCACAAGUAAUCUAGGUCUAAGCACCACGCUUACACCUAUACUACAACUCUAACCUAUAGCGUCCUAUAGAUUAGAAGUACUCAAAAGAGUUGUGAACCAGAACAUACAUAAUUAGUAAUUGCAUAAUGAAUUAGAAGUAGAUUACCAGAGUCAUCCCAUGAGCAAGCUUGAUUAGAGCUUGAUCAUGAUGAAGUACAAUCGGAGGAAGAACCAACAGGCCGGCCUCUCCUCUAAUCCUCAUUCGCUCUCCAUCUUGCUACUAUCUAGAUCUACUCUAGUUUAGAGAAGAUAGGAGAGCUCUCAUCUCUAAACCCUAGCUUUUGCUCUGUCUAUGAAUAAUGAAUAAUGAUCAAGGGGUGCCUCCUCCAGGGGCCAGGGGGUCUGGUUUUAUAGUCCCCUCAAGUGAAUAUGGGCCGUUGGAUCAAACCGACAUAGAUUGAACGGUUAUCCUUGAUCCUUUAGGUCGGUGGAGAUCUCCCACGAAGCAGAGUCCUGAUUGGACUCUCAGAGGGGGCGGGUGCCCAGGGCAGGAGGGCGGGCGCCCUGCCUCUGGCCCCGUUUCGCCUCCGCUUCGGUCUCGUGGCUUCUGGAGUCUUCUAGAUGUAAGAUAAUUGCGCGGCACGUUAAUAUCUCUAUGUAAUCCCGACGUGUGGGCCUUUCUUCCGUAUUUCCUGAUAACCCCCUGCAGAAAUAGACAAACACCAAAACUCGUGGAAUUCUAUCAGAUAAAACCCUAAGUCUAGAUGUUGAUUUCAUUUAGAUCCUUUUCUUUGUUUAUUUGAUAAUUAAAUUUGAUACUUAAGGACCGUCAACAAACUCCCCCAAGCUUACCUCUUGCUCGUCCCUGAGCAAGGAUAGACUCAGCAAUGGAUCAGAAGUUGUUGCAAUAUCUUUAAAAAUUGACGGUACAUAUGCUUUUAAAUAAGAUCUCAUCUCUGAGUUAGAGUAAACUGUCAAGAACUAAAACUUACUUACUUUACCUUUCACCAUGGGACUUGUAACCGUCACUUCUGUCUUGAGUAGUUAAAAGAUAGAACAGUCUUGCCAAGUGCCAUGUCUCUUAUUCUUGAUCAGCUAUAGCUCUGGAGUUUUUGCAGAUUUUCAAAUAAAACUCAGAGAUUCCUUGUAUGACUCUCUAAAUCUCUCUUUUGUUGUAUUUCUGGAUCCUUACCAAGGCAGUGAUGGUAUAUGCCUUCUCUCAAUAUAUGUAGUAUUUGUGGUAUGAAGCAUAGUGACAUUGUCUUCUCUCUCACCCUACUCUAAUAAGGCUUUAAUAUCUGGAGCUCAUAGGUGGGAGAUAAAAUAUACAUACUUACAAGACAUUUAUUGUAUAGUCAAACCAUGGAUCGAAAAAAACAAAUCAUUAAGCCAAAUCAAGAUGUGCAUGUGUGGCGAAUGAAUGGUGUAUGGUGAUGAUGGUGGUAAUGGUGGAAGUCUAAUUCUACUUUUGCUCUUUCAAGGGGAUACAUACCUUUCUUGCUUUUUGAAACUUUGUGAGGAGAAUGAGAUGCUCUUCUUUUUAUUUUGUCUCAGAUGGGUAUCUUGUACCCCUAAUUCUACUGUCGGACACUUGUCCAUUUUUACCUCUCGUCUCACUUUUCCUUUCCUUUCGAGGUUCCAGGCACUUGCCCCUUUUUAUUUCCUCGUAUCUUUCUUUUUUUUUCUUUUUUUUUUCAAAGCACCCAUCUCUUGAGAUAAUAUAGCAAGUGGUAGUAACAAGAUAACUUGAGCAUUUAUUUCACAGGAGAAAAAACACAGAUGUUUUUGGCUAUUCUCUCCCGAAUUAGGAGUAGAAUAUUUUUAGGUGAUUCUGGAGGUGGAAAUGGAUGGAUAUAUGUGGAUGGUACUUCCGGAGUAGAAGUAGCAUAUAUGAGUGAACGUGCAAGUGAAUCUUGAUUUAACCACAUGACAAGCUCCUAAGGGUCUACACAGGUUGACCACACUCAAUGCUCAUAAGCAGUAAAUAGUAAAUGUGUGGCUCAAAGUCUAGCAAGCAUGUAUAUAUGGCUGUGGUAGAAAUUCAAACUCUCAUCAUAUAGGAACUCAUCAUGCAAUAUUUUAAAGAUUUCUCAAAGAUAAAAUUCUCCAAAAUUCUAGCAUCUCUAGGAACAGAUAAACAGCAGCUCAACCUUCCCAUAUCAUAUCCGUUAACAACUUAGACUUCAGAUCAAGUUUUCAACCCACAAGUUUAGGUCUAGAGAAAGCUUUAAAUUAUAACAGUUAUGUCUAAAUUUGAGAGAGAACUUCAAAUUUUAAAAAUUAGCAGAGCAACUAUUCAUCAUAUCCAUGCUAGAGUUUUAUUAUUAAGAUUCAGAUUAGCAUAGCCAUUUUAUUUAUUUAUUAAACACACUAAGCAAAAGAUAUAUAUAUAAGCAUAAAAUCUUUAUUUGGUUUUUCAUAGUUUAUGUAUUUUAAUAUUCUAACAUAAUAUAAGUAUAAAGAUAGGUAGAAAUACUUAGCGAGAUAAAUUGGGGUGCUCUUCCCCCAAGCUAAAUUUUGACGUAAUUUUUCUUGAUGUAGCUAGCAGGUGGCAGAGGUGUAUUUGAAAGUCAGCAGCAUUCUGACAGCGAUUAGAAUGUCCUCCGUCUGCUAGUCUUCUUGAUUCUUAAAUUCUGUGGAGCUCAAAUAGACAACAAAGCUUGUGGAACUGAUUAAGUAUUAGCAUAAAUAUCUAGCCUUUAUCAUGUUGAGACUCCUUAACAAUCAUUACUCUCUAUUUUUUUAUAUUUUUGUUUUAUAAAGCAGAAAAGAAAUAUUUAUUUUGUUUUUAUGCCACCACAGUGAAUGUACUUGUGGGUUUCAUGCCACAAGCAUAGUCACAUGGGGCUUACUAUUUUUAACAUUUUUAUUUUCUUUUCAAGAUAGCAUGACUAACUAACAAACCAUUUAAGGAAAGUAAAUAAUUUAAGGAAAAAUGCAGAAAGGAUAAAUAUGGAUAAUUACCGAUUUUACCUUUCGGCGAGGGUUCAAUGAUUUAAGUCUUCUGAACAAGACUUCUCACCGUGUUCAUUCUUCAGGUGCGUCAUUUGAUUCAGGUGCGGACCUUGACGUCUGCACCUCUUCGUUUGCCCAGCAGUUCGAAGUGCGGUGUUGGCAGUAUCCUGCUCAGUGUGUUUGUGCUCGUAGAUUCAGGUCCUUCACUUGGUAGAGUCUGAGAGUUAUAAAACUCCUCCGUGUUUUGCUCGAAGUGUACCUGCUCAUAGAGACAAGACAGAGAUCAAGUGCAUGGGUCCUGUUGGUGGAAAACACCAACAGAACCUAAAGCGUAUUUGUUCUUCUCUAACCCUAAGCAUAGUGAGCAAGACAAAGUUGAUGGAUGAAAAGUUCAUGAGUGUAGCACUUAUAACAUUUGUCAGAUCAGAUCGCUCAACCUUAUGGAAAGAUAAUCUAUCUAUGUAUAUGUCUUUUUCUUUAUAUCUCUUAAUGAUUGAAUGUGUAACAUUUUAGCUCAUAUGAUUAGGAGUGUGGGAUCAUGGAGGUAGUACUAAGAACAAGGAUUAAAGGACUAAACAUGUUGAAUCAGUUGGGUUGGUUAAUCUAGAGUUGUAGAUCAUACAUGUUUGUCUCUUUUAUUUAUAUGAACGCCAGAACCAAGGAGAAGCUUAUAAAAGUGAUAGUCAAGUACCUUAAGAUGUUACCUUGCUUGAAGAGUGAUGGUACAAUAUCACCUUGUGGAAGCUUCCCAUUCGUAGUGGUUGUGUAUCUUGUUUAUGUACUUUGUCUCCUUCUAUGGAUCAUCUCUCUAUGAUGAAUGAGCUGUGUCCUUCUUGUGCAAAUUGUUAAACUUCAUGUGUCACUCUCUUCAUCUCUGAUGUGAGUUUAUCUCAGGACUUCCCAGGUUGAUAGUGAAAGUUUUCCUGCAGGGGUUAGUCCGACAAAAUAUACCAAUAUCUACUCAAGCAGUUUUUAGUUCAGUAACCAAACUAGACUCUAUGUCUAAUCAGAUUAAGGAAGGCUAUUUAACCUAAGCACCAUGCUUAAUUUAAAAGCCAAUAGAAGUAUGUGCAGUACUUCCAAACUAACACUUACUAGUAAAUAGACAAAGGUAACAUGACAGCAUUUAUAGAGAUCUACUCAAGUGGAGAUGAAGUAGUGUGAUUAGUAUUUAACAAACUGAGCAUGUCUUAAAGGUAGGGACAACCAAUAUAGCAACAUGGCAAAGGAUAUUUUUAUGUAAAGUACUCCCUCAAGCUUGAAUUUUGCAGAAUUCAAGUUUGGAUGAAUUUAAUUCAGUGUUGCAUGAUGAUUGGUUGGACAUACCUUGUGCUUGUCAUUCAUCCGAUCUUCUUGCUCCAAUCCUAGAAAGGUUAGUGACAAGAAUACCCGAAGGAAUAUAUUUAUUUUUUUUACAAUUAUCCUUAUAUGCUCAAUACACCAGGUAAUGUUGUAAAUAAUUAAAAGCUCAUGUUAUGAUCUGAUCAGUGCUUAUUUUAAGACACUAAGCUUGUCCUUGGAAAACCAUCAAUUUAUGUCGGCGAGAUCUGCAAUAUUUAUUAUAGACAUAUGCAUCGACAACCGCCCUUUUUAAGUUUUUUAUAAAUAGAAAGGAAAAGGGGGUUGGAGAUCUCAAAUGUGGUGAUGUUGGAGAGACCAAUAGAUUGGGAAGAUGUUGCAUAUGAGCAUGGAGUAAACGAAAUGGCUAUGAAAUAAAUUCCAUGCUCAUUAAUGUUAUCUUCGUCUCCAAUCUGAAUGUUCGGAGUUUCUCCUGGAUUGGUCUCACCUAUGUCCUCUCUUGUAGUUGGAUGAAUCUCAUCUUCAAAGGGAGUCAAGAACUCACCAUUUGGAAUUGAGCCAAAGUCAGAAUCCAUUAAGGCUUCUUCCUUAUCCAUCCAUUCUACACAUUCUAGCCAUUUGGAACUUGUGAGCAGGAAAGGGGAGCUGAUAGAAUUUUCUAUAUGGCUUAGCUCUCCUUCACUUGAUAUGUCAUCCUCGACUUCUUCAUAACAGGAACCGGGACAUUCUCUAAGAGAACCAUUAUUGUGAGGAUUUGAAUUAUCUCUCUUGAAGGUCUCUUAUGGAACCAGAAGUCUAAAGCAUCAGCAUCUAAAAGAUUUAAGGUCGGAAUUCCUUCCUCCCUUGGAGAAUUUUGGGGUAUUGAUGGUUUAGGAUCGAUAGCUAAAGUUUGGAAUUGAAGUGGUUGUGAUCUGGCUAUCGAAACUUCUUCUUUUUGUCUAGGAACUGGUUCUGUCUCUUUCUCAGGGGUAUAAAAGCUAGGAGACUUCCCACUUAAUAAAUCAAUCAAAUUCCAAGCUUCACUAGCAGGUAGGUGAUAGAAGGAUCCUCUAGAGGCUGUAUUCAAGGUUUGCUUAUUUUCCCCACUAAGGCCCUCAAAAAAGUGAAUUAGAAGAACUUCUUCUGGAAUAGAAAGCUUUGGGCCAGUGAGAGUAAGGUUAAUAAAGCGGUCCCAUGAUUUCCUAAGAGAUUCUUCUUCCAGUUGUCUAAAAGAAAUAAUCUCACGCCGAAGUUCUGCCACUUUGGAGAUUGGAAAAUAUUUAGAAAGAAAACUACUAUAUAACUCCUUCCAAUCUCCAUGAACACUCCUUACUUUGAGUUUAUACCAAUGUCUAGCUUUUUCUGUUAAAGAGAACGGAAAAAGCUUCCAUUUAAGGGUCUCAUCGGACAUGCCUUCUAUGCGAAGGAGGUCACAAAAUCGAUAAAACUCUCUUAGGUGUGUGUAUGGGUUUUCCUCACCAUCUCCUGAGAAAGGUUGUUUUUGAAAAAAUUCUAUGUAUUCGGGGUCUAUCUCAAAACUAGAUGCUAUGAUAGGCUUUGAAGAUUUUGGUGGUUCGAGAUGUGUGCCCAUAGGUCUAUGAAAUUCGUAGAUAGACAUGUUUGAAUUCAUGAUAGACCAGAGAUCAAGGAUUAGAUAAGAAGAAAGAUUAGCAGAGAUGAGGCAAAGGAUAAAAGGAAAAUAUAUAUAUAUAUAUAUAUAUAUAUAUAUAUAUAUAUAUAUAUAUAUUUAGAAAAUGAUUAAGCUAGUUCGUAGUCAACUCAGCAACCGUUUCCCCGGCAACGGCGCCAAAAAUGCUUGUUGACACUUGCUAACACCACUUGAAUACUAGGUUGUCAUCCCCAGCAUGGCACUAGAGUGUACUAUGGUAUUUAUACGCACACAGAUAAUCCGCAAGCGCACGGAUACCGUUGAAGCUUUUACCCGGUUACAGGUUUUAUCGUAUCUACAGGGAAACGGGAGAACCAACUACGCUCUAACUUAACCAAGAUAAGUAAAUAGGUGUAAAUAGGAAAGAUGGUAGAAUCGAAUAAGAAUAAUAUUAAAGGUAAGAUAACAGUGAAUGAUAAUAUGGGAAUAGAGAGUAGAGCAAUUCUAGUAUAUGGGCGAUGGUAGCAGAAUAGAGAGGAUAACUAUGGUUUCUCUACUUCAAAGGGGUAUGUCUAUGUCUGGGACGAACCAUGUGAUAAGAUUACACCACAAAGGAUGCUUAUCCAUAGGCCGAUAAACCCUACCCGUCCUGCUAACGAGAGGUGGACUACAGAGGACCAACGUAACUGUCACCUACGCGGCCUACCACACGAUCCAGCUAGACAGGGGAUAUCCACAAGUAAUCUAGGUCUAAGCACCACGCUUACACCUAUACUACAACUCUAACCUAUAGCGUCCUAUAGAUUAGAAGUACUCAAAAGAGUUGUGAACCAGAACAUACAUAAUUAGUAAUUGCAUAAUGAAUUAGAAGUAGAUUACCAGAGUCAUCCCAUGAGCAAGGUUGAUUAGAGCUUGAUCUUGACGAAGUACAACCAGAGGAAGAACCGACAGGUCGGCCUCUCCUCUAAUCCUCCUUCGCUCUCCAUCUUGCUACUAUCUAGAUCUACUCUAGUUUAGAGAAGAGAGGAGAGCUCUCAUCUCUAAACCCUAGCUUUUUCUCUGUCUAUGAAUAAUGAAUAAUGAUCAAGGGGUGCCUCCUCCAGGGGCCAGGGGGUCUGGUUUUAUAGUCCCCUCAAGUGAAUAUGGGCCGUUGGAUCAAACCGACAUAGAUUGAACGGUUAUCCUUGAUCCUUUAGGUCGGUGGAGAUCUCCCACGAAGCAGAGUCCUGAUUGGACUCUCAGAGGGGGGGGGGGGGCGCCCAGGGCAGGAGGGCGGGCGCCCUGCCUCUGGUCCCGUUUCGCCUCCACUUCGGUCUCGUGGCUUCUGGAGUCUUCUAGAUGUAAGAUAAUUGCGCGGCACGUUAAUAUCUCUAUGUAAUCCCGACGUGUGGGUCUUUCUUUCGUAUUUCCUGAUAACCCCCUGUAGAAAUAGACAAACACCAAAACUCGUGGAAUUCUGUCAGAUAAAACCCUAAGUCUAGAUGUUGAUUUCAUUUAGAUCCUUUUCUUUGUUUAUUUGAUAAUUAAAUUUGAUACUUAAGGACCGUCAACAGAUAUGACUUUGUUGUAUUUGAUUAUGUUCUCAAUUAUAUGAUUCUUAGUCUACUUUGAUUAUAUGCUUGGCAUAGUUAGAUUAGAUUAUAUACAAGUAUAGGACCGUAUAGUCCUUGCUUAUUAGAUUGAUGGGUGAGUGGUAAAUAUUGUGUAGGCAUGGUGCCUAUACCAUAUUUUCCUGCGAUUGCACCCUAUAUUCUAGACCGUGUGGUAGAUCAUGGGAGUGAUAGUCCUGUUGAGUCAUUCGUAGUCCAUCUCCCAGUAUAGUGCAGGCAGAACACAACUAUUACAGGAAAGUGAUUGCUUUGUUCUUCAUCUUCCUUUGUAAUAUCACUAUACGUAGAUAUAACCUUUUCUCGCUAUGAUUGCUGUAACACCCUAAAAUUUUCUUCUUUUAAAAUAGUUGAAUUUGAUUUAUUGGGUCAAUUUUAUGAGUAUUAAAAUAUAGGAAAAAUAAAUAAAUUUUGGGAAAUUAAAAUUUACUAUAAUUUUAGAAAUAUGUUGAUGCAUACAUGCUGUAGCAUUCAAAUUUAGUUUGGAAAUGAGUUUGGGAAUUUGUUUGGAAAAUAAAAAGGCAAGUCCUAUCCCCUCUUUCCUUUCUCGCCUGCCUGGCCCAACUCCUCCCGGCCCACGCGCUCCCUUCCCUUUCUCUCAUUCCUAGGCCGGCCCAGUCCGCAGCUCGGCAGCAACUGCAACACUCCCUUCUACCUGGCUCAAUGACAGGCGGGGCCCGCCUGUCAUCCCCCUCCUUCAGCAACCAUCCUCUUCUCCCUCGGACGCUCAGCGGCAGAGCUGCAACUGUCACUUCCCACUUCCCCACGUUCUUCCCCCACGCCUCGGCCUCUCUUUUGGAUGUGCCAGAGCCCGAGCCUCCCCGGGCCCUGCCGCUCUCAUUUUGCUCUUUCUUUCGCUCCCACUCUCGCUCAAAGCGCAUAGAGAACCGCCACAAAACUCGCCGGAGUCAUCGAGAUCCGCUGCACCUUUACCCAUCAAACCGAGCCAUCUCCGCCUUCGCUUUUUGCCGUGGUGAGCAUGCCUCAUCCCCCUCUCCCUCUCCAGCUUUCUCCCAUGCAAACAGUGGUCUCUGGAGUCCUCCCUGUGAGCUCUGAUGGGGCCGGCCAUGGCGCCACUGUCGACCACCGUGUAAACGACCCUAAUGGUCGUGCUUCACCUCAUGACAGACUCGCCUUCACUCCCUCUUUCUCCUGGUGCCGCCGAUGCACCAUAGGACUAGGAUGCCAUAUUUGUUCUAAUUCGUAGUCUCGUUGUUCAGUUGUGUCUUAUGUGUUUGUGAAUAAUCGAUGUGCCAGCUGAACUUAUUUAUGUCAUUGUAUGAGUUGGAUCUUUGUAAUGACUGCUGGAAGGUUGUGGACUUGUCGACAAAGUUCUGUUAUCUUAGAUUUUAAGUUUUAAUUAAUGAAAGCUUCGUUUGGGUUGGUUCUAUCCUGUUGUUAUUGUGCUGUCUUCUAGAGCAGUCUGUGAUGUUUGUCUCGUAUAUCUAAAUUCGUACGUCCAAAAGUUCUAAAAUUUUUGUGGCUAGACUGGUGUGUCUCUCAUUGGCAACUAGAACCAUGUCAAAUCCUGCUCGGAUCUGGGAGAUAUCCUUGUUACAAUCUGAGACUGCUGCACAGACUAGAACUCAUAACAGAUUAACUUAAACUCUGUUUUUUAUUAAGAUAAUGUCUAAAUUUGUAAAAGUGUUAUGAAUAAAAGGUGUAACAGAUUUCAUAAGGUUUCCAAUGAUGUAUGGUAUGCCUCUAUUGGAUCUCAGAAACUCGAGUUAAGAAUUAAAUAUUGCACUGCUAUUUUUGCAUCUUGUCCAGAAAUUUUCAGCAAUGCUUAUUUAAUAUUGUAACCGGUUUAUAAAUAUUGGAAGGUCUCUAAAAAGCUUGUUCCUUUGUUGGAAACAGAUGGCUGAUGAAGGGGGAAGAGGUCAUGGAUGUGGUCGUGGCCGUGGCGCAGCGAUGGAUCCGCCACCACCACCACCCAUACAGAGUAGCUCAUAGGUAUGCAAGCCCAGUUGAUGCAAGCCAUGAUGCACCACCUGGAUAAUCAGCAUGCGGUCGUACCACCCCCUGUCCUGGUUCGUGAUAAGAGAGGAGAAUUCAUGAAGGAAUGCCCCCCAGUCUUUACACAUGCUUCUAACCCAUUAGAAGCUGAUGAUUGGUUAAGAGUUGUGGAGAAAUAGCUAAACAUUGCCCAAUGCAAUGAAGUGGAGAAGGGCCUCCAAUCAACUGCAAUGGGCUACAUAGGAAUGGUGGGAGUCUACCAAUAUGUACACCCAAAUAAUGCACCGCUCGUCACCUGGAGGGAAUUUACUAAGAGCUUCCGAUCAUACCAUAUUCCUGAGGGCUUAUUGAGCUCAAACAAGAGGAGUUCCGUGCUCUCAAGCAAGGCUCCAUGACUGUGGCCGAGUACCGUGACAAGUUUGCUCAGUUGUCACGUUAUGCUCCAGGUGAGGUAGCGAAGGAUUCUGACAAGCAAUGUCGUUUCCUGAAGGGUCUAUAUGAUGGCCUGCAGUUGCAGUUGAUGUCCAAUGUCUACCCUAGUUUCUAGGAACUAGUGAACCACACUAUUGUGAUCGACAAUAAGCGCAAGGAAAUGGAUGCCAAAAAAGAGGAAGCUUUAGGGGCAGGCAUCUAAUUGCAAUACAUGCCCACGUGUUUUCCCUCAGUAGGGCUUCCCUCAAAGGAAUUAGAGGCCCCCUAGUUAGUGGAGUCAGGGCCAGUAUCCUCAGUGCAAUUAGAACCAGAACCAGUAGUGCCCUCAGUACCAGCAGCAGUAUGGCAACCAGCGGCCCUAGUAGCAGGCUAACCCUCAGGUACCAUGUCUGGGUGUGCCCAACAAUGUUCCUGUGAAGAAUGUCAUGACAAACAAUCCCAAUGCUUGCUACUGCUAUGGUGAGGUGGGUCACUAUGCUCAUCAGUGCCCAAAGAAGCAUAACCCUCUAGCCCUACUGAACCAGAACAACAACCAGAGGCCCAAUGCUCGACCACCCCACACUGGAAGGGUGAAUCAUGUGUCUACCAAUUCAGCUCAGGAGGCACCCGAGGUCAUAUUGGGUACAUUCAGUAUCAACUCUAUCCCUGCUACUGUACUUUUUGAUUCUGGAGCUUUGCAUUCUUUCAUCUCGCAAGCUUUUGUUAGAGUACAUAGCAUAGCUCUGUGUACCAUGAAAAACUCCAUGCUAGUGAAUUCACCGGGAGGUACCAUGCCAGCUAACUAUUGUAGUCCCUCCACUAGUAUUUCUCUAAGAGGGGGUAGAGUUCAAAGUAAACCCCAUUGUGCUAAGAACUUCUGGUAUUGACCUCAUUUUGGGAAUGGAUUGGAUGAAGCAACAUCAGGUAGUGAUACAAUGCCAGGAGAAGUCUAUGAUGGUGACAUCGCCAAAAGAAGAUAGAAUUUGUGUGGAAGUGGCAGUGCAAGUACCACCAAUGGCUACCAUGAACUAGAUGAUUGACGAGAUUAAUGAGGAGGACCAAGUGGUGAAUGAAUUCCUAGAUGGGUUCCCUGAUGAAUUGCCAGGUAUGCCAUCUGACUGUGACAUUGAAUUCCUUAUUGAAAUUUUACCUAGAACUGCACCCAUAGUUAAGAGACCCUAUAGAAUGGGAGCAAAUGAACUAGAGGAACUUAAGAAACAAAUUAAGGAGUUGUUAGAAAAAGGUUUCAUUCGUCCUAGUUCAUCACCAUGGGGAGCGCCUGUUAUAUUUGUUGACAAGAAAGAUGGUACUAGGAGGAUGUGUGUGGAUUACCGGUCACUAAAUGAAGUAACCAUGAAAAACAAGUACCCUUUACCUAGAAUUGAUGACUUAUUUGAUCAAUUAAAAGGUGCUUGUGUGUUCUAAAAAUUGAUCUUAGUUCCGGAUCACCAACUGAAAAUCCGUGCAUCGAAUGUACCUAAUGUUGAUAUUUGGUAACGCAAUAAGGAAAUGAUCCGCAAGCGCACGGAUAUCGGCGAGCAUUUCACCCGGGAGGUUUUCCAGAGUAUCGUAUUUAUAUUUUUACCACUGGGAGAAAGGGUGCAUCUGACUAACCAAAUCUAUUGCUACUAUCCCUUUAGGCUACAAAGAAUGUUUCUCGAUGUGAGCGAUGUAUAGAGAAGACUGCAACCGUAGUCUCUUUCUAACCUUGGUAAGGAUGGUCUACUGUUCUAUUGGGGAAGCUUACGGAAUCUAGACACCACAAAGGAUGUUCGACCCACACCUAUAAACCUACCCGUCCUGCUAACGAGAUGUGGGAUGCAAAGAUAACUCGGAAAUGUCACGUUCCUCGCUACUACCACGGUCCAGCUAGUCAGGGGAUAUCUAUGAGUACCCUAGCCCAAACACCACGUUUACGCUAGCAAUGAUUACUCUAAACUCAACUGGAAGAGAUUAAAGUAAACUCGUAAACCAAAGAACAAUAAAGCAAGAACUUACUAGAAUUAGAAGUCGAAUUACUGAAGAAUCCUAGGAGCAAGCCUCGGGUUAGAAGACUUGAUCCCGCAGGUACAACCUCGGAGUAGACACCGAGAGGCUGGCCUUCCUCCGAUCUACACCUCCACUCUAUCUCUCUCAAUCUAGUAGAAACUAGAAGAUCUAAUUCUACUCACAUUGGAUGCUAAGCCUAAAACAAAUUUUAUUUAGAGGAGAGGUAUUCCCUCGAGGGCACCUCUCAAAUCUAUGAUGAACUUGUCUCCUCCAGGGGCCAGGGGAUCUGGUUUUAUAGUCCCCUCAAGUGAACGUGAGCCAUUGGAUCAAACCGACAUUGAUUGGACGGUUAUCCUUGGUCCUUUAGGUCGGUGGAGCUUGGUCCGCAAAGUUGGACGUGUUUGACUACAAUUCCUGGGCAGGGCGCCCAAGGAGGGUGGGUGGGCGCCCUGCUCCCGGGCCCGUUCGCCUUCUCGUUCGUUCCCAUGGCUUCUGGAGUCUUCUAGAUGAUAGAAAAUUACGCGGCACGUUAAUAUCUCUAUGUAAUCCCGACGUGUGGGCCUUUCUUCCAUAUUUCCUGAUAACCCCCUGCAGAAAUAGACAAACACCAAAACUCAUGGAAUUCUAUCAGAUAAAACCCUAAGUCUGGGUGUUGGUUGUAUUUGGAUCCUUUUCUUUGUUUAUUUGAUGAUUAUAUUUGGCACUUAUGGACCGUCAACACCUAAGACGGCCUUUACUACUAGAUAUGGCCUAUAUGAGUACACAAUUAUGUCUUUUGGGUUGACCAAUGCACCUACAUAUUUCAUGUACCUAAUGAACAAGGUGUUCAUGGAAUUUUAGGAUAAGUUUCUAGUGGUGUUCAUUGAUGACAUACUCAUCUUUUCCAAAACUAAAGAGGAACAUGUUGAGCAUCUGCGACUAGUCUUGCAAAAGCUCAAAGAACAUAAGUUAUAUGCCAAAAGUAGUAAGUGUGAAUUUUGGCUGACGGAGGUCUCCUUUUGGGGACACGUGGUCUCUAAUGGAGGAAUAGCCGUGGACCCUAGCAAGGCGCAGGAUGUGUUGAACUGGAAACCCCAGAAAAUGCAUGUGAAAUCUGUAGCUUUUUGGGAUUAGUCGGGUAUUAUAGAAGAUUCAUUGAAGGAUUCUCGAAACUUGCUAAGCCUAUGACAGCAUUAUUAGACAAGAGUGCUAAGUUUAACUGGUCACACAAAUGCCAAGCUAACUUUCAAGAAUUGAAGAAGAGGUUAACAACAGCUCUAGUGUUAACCUUACCUGACUUAAGCAAGAGCUUCUCUAUCUAUUGUGAUGCUUCUCACUUAGGCUUAGGUUGUGUGCUCAUGCAAGAAGGAAAGGUAGUGUCAUAUGCAUCUAGGCAGUUGAGAAAACAUGAGUUGAGCUAUCCUACUAAUGAUCUAGAGCUAGCCAUAGUGGUCCAUGCCCUAAAGAUCUGGAGACAUUACUUGAUUGGGCAUAAGUGUGAUAUCUACAUGGAUCACAAGAGUCUAAAGUAUAUCUUCACUCAGUCUGAUAUGAAUCUAAGGCAAUGUCAUUGGUUAGAGUUGAUCAAGGACUAUAACUUGGAAGUGCAUUAUCACCUCGAGAAGGUGGAUGUCGUUGCAGAUGCACUUAGCAGGAAGUGCUAUGUCAACAAACUUCAGCUGACAUUUAUUUGAGCCGAAUUGCAUGCUGAAAUAGAACAUCUCAACUUAGGCUUUAUGAAUCAUACAAUGGGUUUAGAGAUAGAGCCUAGGUUGGAACAAGAAAUAGUAAGAGUCAGUUGUGCGAUGAAAAGUUAAAGGAGAUAUCAGAUAAUGUUCUGUGUUAGGCGCAUGACUUUGCCUAUUCAAUACACCCUGGAAGUACCAGUAUGUAUUUGGAUCUAAAAGAGAUAUUGGUGGUACCGGUUGAAAAGAGAUGUGGCAGAGUAUGUAGCUUUGUGCGACACCUAUUAGAGAGUGAAAGUUGAGCACCAAAGACAUGCAGAGUUGUUGCAACCAAUGCAGAUACCUGAGUGGAAGUGGGAAGAAGUUGGUAUGGAUUUUAUUACCGGAGUGCCAUGUACUCAACAUGGAUAUGAUUCGAUUUGGGUAAUAGUAGACUGACUCACUAAGGUUGCACAUUUCCUACCAGUCAAAACCACUUACAACGGGGCAAGGUUAGCCGAGAUGUACAUAGAAAGGAUAGUGUGCCUACAUGGGGUCCCAAAGAAGAUCGUGUCUGAUCAAGGUACUCAAUUUACAUCGCAUUUUUGGCACAAAGUACAUAGAUCCAUGGGAACUAAACUAAACUUUAGUUCCACUUAUCAUCCUCAGAUUGAUGGACAAACAGAGAGAACUAAUUAGAUCUUGGAGGAUAUGCUGAGAACUUGUGCUUUGUGGUAUGGUACUAGUUGGGACAAGAGUCUGUCGUAUGCUGAAUUAUCAUAUAACAACAGUCACUAGAAAAGUCUCAACAUGGCACCAUUUGAAGCCUUGUAUGGGCGCAAGUGUAGAACACCUUUGUUCUGGAAUCAGAUAGGUGAGACACAAGUGUUUGGACUAGAUGUCCUAAGAAGUGCUGAAGAACAAGUGAGGGUGAUUACGGAUAACCUAAGAGUGGCACAGUCCAGGCAAAAAAGUUAUGCCGACACCCGAAGAAGGGGCUUGACCUUCAAAGAGGGUGAUUAUGUGUAUUUGAAAGUGUCACUGAUGAGGAGUGUGAAGAGAUUCAACAUGAAGGGUAAGUUAGCACCGAGAUACGUUGGACCUUUCAGAAUUCUUGUGAGAUGUGGAGAAGUGGCUUAUCAGUUAGAACUCCUAGAAAGUUUGUUAGGUGUACACGAUGUAUUCCAUGUCUAUUAGUUGAAAAGUGUUUAUGAGUAUAGGAAGAGCAGAUUCCUAUAGAAGAGUUAACCGUUAAAGAAGAUCUCACAUAUGAAGAGUACCCGAUAAAGAUCUUGGAAACUAUACAUGGAGUCAUGAGGAGUAGAACCAUAAAGAUGUGCAAAGUACAGUGGAACCACUGAACCGAGGAUGAAGCCACUUGGGAGAGAGAAGAUGAUUUGAGAAAGUCGUAUCCACAACUGUUUGAGUAAGCCAUCACCCAAUCUCGAGAACGAGAUUCUUUUUAAGGGUGGUAGAAUGGAAACACCCUAAAAUUUUCUUCUUUUAAAAUAUUUGAAUUUGAUUUAUUGGGUCAAUUUUGUGAGCAUUAAAAUAUAGGAAAAAUAAAUAAAUUUUGGCAAAUUAAAAUUAACUAUAAUUUUGAAAUAUGUUGAUGCAUACAUGCUCAAGCAUUUUAUUUAUUUGAUGUGUGGUUUUGUUCAAAUGAGAUUUGAAUUAAAAUUCAAUUUGGAAAUGAGUUUGGGAAUUUGUAUGCAAAAUAAAAAGGCAAAUCCUAUCCACUCCUUCCUUUCUCUCCUGCCUGGCCCAACUCCUCCCAACCCAUGCGCUCCCUUCCCCUUCUCUCAUUGCUGGGCCAGCCUAGUCCAUAGCUCGGCAACAACUAUAGCACUCCCUUCCCCCUAGCUCAAUGAUAGGUGGGGCCCGCCUGUCAUCCCCCUCCUUGAGCAACCGUCCCCUUCUCCCUCGGACACUCAAUAGUAGAGCCACAACUGUCGCUCCCUACUCCCUCAUGUUUUCCCCCGCGCCUCGACCUCUCUUUUGGAUGCACCAGAGCCCGAGCCACCCCUACCACUCUCAUUUCGCUCUCUCUUCUGCUCCCGCUCUCGCUCAAAGCACACAGAGAACUACCACAAAACUCACCAGAGCCACCGAGAUCCGCUGCACCUCUACCCAUUGAGCCGAGCCGUCUCCGCCUCUGCAUUUCACUGUGGUAAGCACGCCUCAUCCCCCUGUCCCUCUUCGGCUUUCUCCCAUGCAAAACGGUGGCCUCUGGAGUCCUCCCCGCGAGCUCCAAUGGGGCCAGCCAUGGCGCCACCGUCGGCCACUACGUAAACCUCUCUAAUGGCCGCGCUUUACCUCAUGACAGACUCGCCUUCUCUCCCUCUUUCUUCUGGUGCGCUCGGAGUAGAAAACUGAGCUCCGUAGCGGUCGGACAAGAAACUUCGGGGACCUUGCUCACACUAGCCAUGGCACGCCGCUGCUCCCCCUGAUUGCAGCCGCCGGCACCACCAUCUCUUCCCCCAUCUCUAAUCUCGACCGUUCAUUGCCAGAUCGAUGACCGAGAAUGGCCCGUACCCCUUCGCGGGAUUUUUACUAAAGAGUCCUUGAAUUAUCUUAAUUUCAUGCCGGUGGUCCUUGGCCAUGAGGAUUUCCAGGAUUUUCUUUAUUUAUUUAAAUUCGUUUAAACUUUGUCAAAAUUAUAGAAUUGCCAAUGCAUAGUUGUGCUUGUAAACUCAUCGUUAUAGCUCUGAAUCGAUCCAUUCAACUUGCGUUAGUUUUGUAAUUUCAUAAGCUUCGCGUUGGUACCACUUUUGUAUAGGUUUUACAAUGUUAGAUUUCCUAGAAAAUUAAAAGUUCAUAGAUUGCCUUUGAGGUUGUAAUACCCGAUUUUAAGGACAAAACCAGAUAUGCACCAUAUGUGAGUCCUAGAAGUCAAAAGACAAUGCAUAAAUAUAUAACGUACUUAGUAUAAAAGAGAUAACCUUUAGUAUCAAACAGCGGAUAGACAACUCCAACUUCGGGUAUUAACUCCACUCUACAGGAUCCAACUGACUGGUUGAUCACAAGCCUAAACUUCUCCUGAGGUUUGGGGGAAAUAGCAAGAGUGAGUCCAUGUCGAACUCCACAAGUAUAUCAACUAGAUUGUAUAGCUCCCACAAUCUCAUGAUCAAUGUGACAUAAGUAAUGUAAAGCAUUAAACAAUAAUAAUGAGCAUAUUUAACACACAGGAAUCAUCACCCUUAAUGUAGAUGUCCCCAAGGCUGCUCCUGACUAUGAGCUCGGCUAGUAUACUAGUUUUUAACCCUCUGCAGAGGUUGCACAUCUUUACCCAUGAGUCAUGAUUUACCCUUUCGCCCGAGGUAGCUAAUCUCUUAACCCCCUUCCUAGGGAGGUCGGCAGGGAUCACUAUGAAGUCUUUCAAAGGUUCGUCUAACAAGUUAGAGCCGCUUGGUUUCAUUAGUCAGUCCGUGUGAUUCACCCGCAGGAAUCCACGGUCUGCUAUUCCCUAAUUGCGCCACAACGGGUAACCGCUAACAAGCUAGAAAAGUUACUCAUACUUAACUAAAGCCAGAGCCAUUAUAGCCCUCAUGGUUGCACUGUUGUCCCGGGUGAUCACGUACAGAUAAAUCAUCAAGUUGCUAAAAAGUCAUUUUUAUCGUUUAUUACUUAUCAUUAACCUAGUCACACGAUCAUGGUCACAGAAAUAAAAUCCAAAUGCUAUACUUGCCUUGAUCCAAAUGCUCUUGCUGAUCUUGCUAGUUGUUCAAGGCUCUGAUCUUGAUCACUGAAGCACUCUUGAUCACCACGAAUUGCUCAUCGUCUAAUCUUGAUCAUCGAUCACACAAACAAUCGAAGAAAACAUACACGAAGCAAACAAGACUACAAUUAGAACAGUACACCAUUCAUAUAAAAACAGUAUGAAAUGUUUAUAAAAUGAUUCUACGCAGCGCUACGAUUUCAUAGACGUAAAGAUCACGAAAAUCGGAGUUGAAACGGAAAAGAUAUGGAUUUUCUAAGAUUUUAUAUAGAAAAGUAAUUAAUUAAUUAAGGACACGAAAUUAAAAAGUUUCAAACUGAGAAAACCAUUUUUCUAACAUGUAGAGCUCAUGAAAACGAACCUAACGCAAUUUGAAUGAGUCAAAUCGAAGUUAAAAUGAAUAUUUUAUGGCGAAAAGAAAUCCAGUGGCAAACUUGUAAUUACAGAAAGCGUAUUUUCGGAGUCAAUCCGGUAUUUUUCUGUUUUCUGAAAGAGAAAGCGCAUUUUUGAUAUCCACUUUGGACUGCGGGUUUAUUUGGCAAAAGCUCAGGGGCUUUUUAACAAAAGUGCGAAUGAAGGGGUACGUUCUAAUCUGGAACGUUGAUCUUGAAUCGGACGACUGAGACUCAAUCUGGGGAAAAACAGGUGGCUGCCGGCAACGUACAGGAGCCUCACGGUGGCUCCAUGGCCGGAAGUUCGCCGGCGCUCAUGGAGAAGGCACUAGGAACCAUGGUUUUUGAUGGGAAAAGAACCAGGGCGUAGAGGACCUUCGUGCGAACUCACCUAGGCGACUUUUGCGAUCGGAGAGAGCUUGGAAGAGGGCGGCAGCACGUCGAGGCGGAGCUUUGCAUUCCUGCGAAGUUCGGCGAGCAAUUCAGCAACACAGAGAAGGGUAGAACGAUGAUGGAAAGCACAGGGGGGUUCAAAACCUCAACGCGAAGCUCGGCGUCCACUCGAUUGUGAUAGAGCGGCCGCGUAUAGCAAGAACCACGGCGGCAGUUCUUCCUCUACUCGCGGCGAGAUCCAAACUGCAAUGACGACCGCAAAGAGAGCUCGUUGGCUUCACAGAUGAGGGAAAGGGCACGCGGGGAAGGUUCCUGAGCUUUUAUAGGAGCAUGGUAGUCGAUCACGGCAACAAAUCCCGUGGUAAACGGGAUUGGGCUCGGUCCCGAUGUGAAGUCCUGCUUGGCCACGCGAGGAAGAAAGAUUGGCGGCACUGACUUGUGGGGCCCCCUGUCGGUGACCAAAAGCGCGGGACCCGCUUGCCAGCAAAGGGAGAGAGAGAGGACGGCGCGCUGGCUGGCCAUUUGGGCCGAGAGAGGGAAGCGAGGCUUGCUGCGCACGCUGGGCCGAAUGGAAACAGAAGGGGGAGGUUUUUUUCUUUUGUUUGUUUUCUUUUUUGUUUCUUUUUAUUUCAAAACCAUUUGAAACUCAUUUAAAAAUUCUUUUGAAUCCUUUUGAAUUUUGAGUUCAAAAACACUCAGCACAAUAAACCAAAAUGCAGAAGCAUGAGUGCACAAAAAUGUUGCUACACCCUAAGAUAAAUUUUAUUUUGAUGAAGAAUAUUAUUUCCUAGGUUUCAUGAGCACCAAAAAUUCAUAAAUAAAUCAUUUUUCACCUAUUUUUAAAAUGAGCAAAAUUUUGGGUGUUACAAAUCUACCCCUCUUAAAAUGAAUCUCGUCCUCGAGAUUCGGAAGAGGCACGGAUUCCAAAAGAGAGAUAGGAAAAAGAUAUUGAUCACUAAUUCAACUCCACAGCUAGUAUUCCAAAAGCAAACACUUAUGUCUCGGGAUCACAACUUGUGAACAAAAUUUCCAUAAAACGUCUAUUUUUCGUAAUUGUUCAAGGUCCAUCUUGACUACCAACUUUUAGACUUAUACAACUCAAGGACAUGAUAACUUAGCAUGGAUAUGCCUCCUCAGGCAGGAGUGGACCACCUUGAUACUCAAUUCUUUUCUCCGAUGGUGCAGUUAAGAAAAUUUUCCACUAGGUAGCAUAGAUCACUCCUUUGUGUGCACAUAACCAUCCAUUACCAUGAACCCAAGGAAUGUCGAGUGACUCUAGCACAAUGAGGUUUACAGUAAAGUUUUCCUUUUACACUUCCGUCGUUGUGGAUUCUGAUUUGAUUCAAUGUCAACUUGCUCUUCUGUAUUGUUAUUUUGAUAGUACUCAGCAUUGUCAUACUCAUAACAUCUUUCUUCAAAGGCAAGAUGACAAUAACCAUAGAAUAUCUCAGAAGGCAGUUAUCGCUUCAAGAUAGUUUUAAAAUGCAUCAUCCCGUAAUAUCAAGGUGCUACCCCCUUAAAACGAGAUUGAUUGGGGGACACUAGGGAGUAGUUCUCCUAUCCUUUUUGGACGCCACACAUCAUAGUCUUUUACAUUCGUGGUACCGAGUCUCUUGAUCCAAGGUUAGUUUCAUCACUAAGUCCCAAUUAUCGGUACCUUUAUCACAAUUAAGUUGUUUCACUCUCACGUUGUACAUAUAGCUUUGUAGACUUUGGUGUCAUCUGAUCCUCAUAACAUGACUCUCAAUUCAUGAGUAUCAGCAAUGACAUAUAUCUCCAUUAAUAUUCUCUAAAUUGGAUGAUAUCUCGAAUUAAAACCAAUUUACCAAGCGCUUGUGAUCCUUGUAGAUGUUCCAGUCAUUAACCACUUCUUCUCUUGUAACUUCUUUAAUUAGGCUACCUCCCUUAAAAAGGGUCAACUAGGGAACACAAGAAGGUAGCUAGCAUGUUUUCCAGACAAGUUAACUAACAUUGAGAACUUCUGACAUCCCAAAGAUCUUAUGUGCAAGAGAAUAAACAAGUAUCCUGAAAUUUUCUCGUGAUAUGAAAACACCAGCGUAGUAGAAUAGACAUAACUCUUAUUAUGUCAAUCCAAUAGAGUUGUAGCUUAUACCAUUAGAAAAAUUAUGAAAUUCCCUACAACUUUCUUAUAGAAGCCUUUCUUAGAUUCUGUCUUUAAGCUUAGUUAAAACAACCAAACAUAUUAUCCAUCCUGACAAUGUCUCAGCCAAGGUGCAGUAACUUACAAAAGUUAUAUCUCGAGCUUCUUAAUUCAUCUGGAGAUGAUCCUUACCUUUUUGAAAAGCUUGGGAAAUUCUCUACAACUUUCGUAUACCACGUUUUCCCAGAUUCUGUCUUUAACUUGGCUGAAAAAUUGGAAAUACCAGAUCUGUCCAGAUUUUGAAGCAGAACAGAAACAUCCAAUUGUAAAUAUCAGAUCUCAGGUUCUACUUAUCCAAAUAAGUUCCAGCUUAUACCGUUGGAAAGAAUAGAAAAUUGUCUACAACUUUUCUAUAGAAUACUUUUCCAAAUUCUAUAGUUAUAUAUGUCUAAAACAGCAAGCAACCGAAACUGGUACUGAUUCUUGACAGCGCAGCUGCAUUAACUUGUGAUUUUCAUAACUCCAAUUCCAAAAUAGAUAUGGGGGUCAUUCUUGAGGUCAAAGAAAGAUCUUGGAGUCUAGUUAUUCCCAGAAAAAGGUGAUAAAUUUUGCACGAUCAGAACUUGAGAUAUACCAAUAUUAUUGCUAAUUGCUCCAGAAGUCAGCAAGGGACAGAAACAGGAUAUCACCAAACCCAACUACUUAUGUCAUUACUCCUUAUGCCUUAGUUCUAUAAACUAAAUGAAAUUGUGAAGAACUCACAAAAUCAUUACACUCAUUACAAAGAUCCAAAUCAAACAUAAACAUAAUAACAAGCAAUUAAGCAUCAAAGGUUCACACUUCACUCAACUUGCGAUACUAUCGUUCUCUUCAUAGUAAGGGUAAAGAUCCUAAAACUUAUAUUUCAAAGACGCAAGAAGGUGGUAAGAAAAGGUUCUAAUAGCAUACCAAAUCAAGGAGUGAAGGUGAGAACAAGUACUUUUAAAAUAAGCAACAAGGUAGAGACAAAUAGCAAGGAUAAGGAUAUAGUAUGGAUAAAAAUAUCAAGGUUUAUAGACUUCGGUAAAAGUGGAAUGGAACAGUGUUAAACCAUAUGCCUUUCACGGAACUCGAAAUUGACUAUUUAUUAAGAGAAGAGGGUGUGUAACUAAAUCAAUGACUCACCUUAUAUAUCAUAAUGGGCUACCUCGUCUCAAUAGGUGAAAAUCAAGGUCUCGCCCCUUUCUCCUAUAAAUGUAUCGGAGAGUCAGAGCUCUUUCGCUGAUCCAAAGGCGCUCACAAAUGGGUACAGGUACCUGAGGAGGCAUGAGCAGCUAAUGGAAUUUCUUUUCUCACAGGGUUACCUAAAUUGGAGGGUAAGGGGGUAAUAUUGGUAAUAGAGGAAAGAUUAACCAAGUAUUGCCAUCUCUUUGCCCUAGCUCACCCCUACACUAAGGCGUAGCACAAGUAUUUUGAGAUGGUGUUUAAAGGCUGCAUGGCUUACACCCACUAUGGUGACCAAAAAGAUACCCAAUAAACCGUACUCCCAGCACAGGCUUAACUCAUUCCCUUACCCCCAAGAAAACUUUGUCGAAAAAGGUUGUCAUCGUAAUAGGGAUUGCACAUCAACAUGGCAGCCCUCAAUUCUUCCAAUUGUGACUUGUACUCUUCUAGGCUUCCUCUUUGCCUCAAGUGAUUAAACUCAUCAACUACACCAACCACAUUUCUGACCUCAAACCUCUCUACAAUCUCUUGAAUUCACUCUUGCCAAGAUACUUGUCCCCUAUUCACUAAGAAACUGUUGUACCAGCUUUCAGCUCUCUUUUUCUUCAUCAACAAGCUCAGCAUUGAGGGGAUCCAUUUGCCUUAUCCAAUUUAAGAUCAAAGGUUAACCUCUAAUGUGAUUUACUAAUUUCUAACUGCAACCAGGGAACAACUAUCAACUAGUUUGAAAAGUUCUGUCAUUUAGGUUUGGGAGUAUUCCGGCGUAACUUUCUCAGGGUAUGGUAUAGGGGCUUGAGAAGGUGGGCAAUCCUUCAGUGAAGACCUAAUGAGAGGCUUAAAAAAACACACCCAAGCAAGAAUAAAUCGUACGAACAUCUAUGGAGCCUAGCAAGGAGCCUUAGCUUCACUUCAGCUCUCGUCACCUCACUCUCAAAUUUGCAGUCUUUCUUGACUGGUUCUCUAUUCAUAAACCCUACAGCUUUGUGCCACCAGGGGCCCCUUCUUUUGAAUUUGGUGAGCUACGCACUCACAUCUCAUCUUCAGCUACGGACCCCCCCACGGACGUCCAUCUAGUCUUACCCGCGUGUACUCCCAGACAGACUCUCGGGCGGGCUAAAAGAAUGAGCCUGCCUCAAACUCUCCUCAUAGCAUGGUCAAAGAAGAGGCUAAAUAAAACCUAUCGUCAAAAGAAAAGAAACUCGCAGACUUCAGAAAAUAAAUAGGACUGUCCAUACUUUGAAGAAGAAAUACUGGAGUGGGAGUGGUUCCAGUGCCGAAAUCGCCCUUUCUCUUAUUCGUACUAAGGGGGAGGAGGGCUUAUCUUAAUAUUCCAUCUUGUUUGUUAGCUGACAACUCCAUCCAUCUUGCUUGUGCUCAUUCUAUCACAAAAGAGAUUUUUUACUUUUGCCAUAUGGUGAUCAUACUUUUUUCAUACAAUUGGAAAGUCUACCGAGGGGAAGGUAGGACAAAAACACGGUGUUUCCUACUUUUGUCACUUUGAAAAAAGUCUUUAUUAGGGAAAUCGAUGAGUAGGCGCGCAGCGACGGGGUUUCCUACUUUUAGUAUUCUACCAUAUGCCUCGUUUUUUUACUUCUACUAUUGGUUUUUCAGGCUGUGAAUUAGCAAUGAAUCCUGACAACUUCAACUCUUAGUUAUACACCCACCUCUACUACAUAGUAGAUAGUCAAAGUGUCAGCUGCUUGUACCAGUCAUUUAUGUGUCGUAAUUGUACUCAAUUGUCCAAGAAGACUGCACGAGACACCAAAACACAUCAAUGUUGUUUUUCAUGUACUGCCUCUUCUAGAUUCGAUUGCUGUCUCCACAUUUCUUCGCCAAAAGGCUUGAAUUCUUCCCAUCGUACACUACAUCCGAUGCUUUAAGUUCAACUGGAAAUGAAGAAGUAUACCUCAUGAUGGGUUGACCUGCCUGUCGACUACAAGAGAGACAAGCUCACUCGAGAGAUCUUUCCUUUCGAUCGCCAUUGGAGAAAAUAAGACUCCAUUGGUGCGGAUGGGAAGCAAGUGUGAAGCUCCUCAGAGUUUUUGGGUUCCUGUCUUCAUGUACCGAAAGGACAAAGCUGGACGAUAGGAGCAAUACGGGGAGAAAGUAGCGCUUUUGCUAUAGGCUGGCUUAAAAUGUUUCGUUUGAAAACGAACUUGUUAAGGCAAAACAGGCUUUAUUGCUUUUGCCCUUGGCUGGACUACAAACUUGAAUCUUGAAAGUAGUUCCCGCUAGGUAAAUACAGAUUUAUUGGUUUUGCCCCAAGCAAGAAAACGGAUGUGCGAAGGAAAGUAGGACUUUUUACUACGGCUGGCAUAAAAAGUGCACUUUGAUCGUACACUCUACUAGGCAAAACUGGUGUGAGUGGUUUUGACUAUGGAGGGCAUAAACAGUUUAAUAUGGAGAGUCGGCUGAGUUUAGGACAAAAAGACAAGGCGUAGUCUUUUGAGUCUGAUCAGUCUAGUGUUGCCUAUGUUGGGUAGGAAAUAAAAGAAUCAAAGCCCUCGACGUUCCUAACAGCUGUUGAGCUCUCGAAGUAUGAGAUCCUGAAUGCAUCCUCUUUCUUUCCACUUCAUCUUGGGAAUCAGGAAUGGUUGUUUAUGGCUGGGUGUGACAGAUCAGACUGAGUUUAGAAUCAGACCUUCUAUCUAUCUAGCUGUAUUGCCACUCCAACGGUUCUUUUUCUUUGAUUAUGCCCCGUAUCUCUCUGAGCCUAUUUGAUCUAUUUGCUAUAUCCAAGUUCGAGUGUGAAGUUCGCUCCGGUUGAAGUGUAGGGCUUCCUAAUUUCUGCUUCGUCCUCCUGCACACUAGUAUAGAAGGUUGGCCCGUCACCGUAUACCAUCGUAAGAUGAACUGGAAAUUAGUAGUUUCAACCAGUUACACAAAAUAGGCAAGUUGAGUUCAGCGUGUGUUGUGUUGCCUCCAACUAUAACGAGGCCCUUUGACUUGAGGUACGAUUUACCUCUUAACGCGCUUUCCUGCUAGAAGAAGUGAGGGUGAUGUCCAAUGACCUGUUUGAAGAAGCUUGCUGUGUAGAUAGGUAUCCGUUUCGUAAACCUAAUGUAGAACCUGUAAACUAAAGACAGCUAACCAUAGCCCAAAGUCGUAUCUCUUUGGUUAAUAAGAUCCAAAAGGUUUAUCGAUCCCAAGGGGUACAGAUCCAUAAUAGACAUAUAGAGAUUAUUAUACGCCAAGUAACAUCAAAAGUAAGGGUUUCCGAAGAUGGAAUGUCUAAUGUUUUUUUACCUGGGGAAUUAAUAGGACUAUUGCGAGCGGAACGAGCAGGGCGGGCUUUAGAUGAAUCGAUCUAUUAUCGGGCAAUCUUAUUGGGAAUAACAAGGGCUUCCCUGAAUACCCAAAGUUUCAUAUCUGAAGCAAGUUUUCAAGAAACUGCUCGAGUUUUAGCAAAAGCUGCCCUACGAGGUCGUAUUGAUUGGUUGAAAGGCCUGAAAGAAAACGUAGUUCUGGGGGGAUUAUACCUGUUGGUACCGGAUUCCAAAAAUUUGUGCAUCGUUCCCCACAAGACAAGAACCUUUAUUUCGAAAUUAAAAAAAAAAAUCUAUUCGCGUUGGAAAUGAGAGAUAUUUUGUUUCUCCAUACAGAAUUAGUUUCUUCUGAUUCUGACGUAACAAACAAUUUCUAUGAAACAUCAGAGACCCCGUUUACCCCUAUUUAUACGAUUUAAGUAUACAUAAAGCAAUUUUUUUUUACUUAAAUUUAAACUAUACUUUUGACCUUAGAAUGCUAACAGGUCUGAUUUUCGAUUUUGUAUUUGAAUUUGAAUUGUAUUUGAAUUGUAUUUGAAUAAGUAAAAGAAGUCAGUUAAUUCAUUAAGGCUAUGUUUAUACCGUGUAUCAAUGGUCAAUUAUGAGUAGAAGGUUCCAUCGGAACAAUUAUUAUUUAUUUCAAGCUAUUUCGGCUCUUUCUUAAUCUUCAAAAAGAAAUUAAUUCCGUAAUGGUAAGACGAAAAAAGAAAAAAUAAAAAGGAAGUGUGGAAAAAAUGACAAGAAGAUAUUGGAACAUCAAUUUGAAAGAGAUGAUAGAAGCGGGAGUUCAUUUUGGUCAUGGUAUUAAGAAAUGGAAUCCCAAAAUGGCCCCUUACAUCUCGGCAAAGCGUAAAGGUACUCAUAUUACAAAUCUUGCUAGAACAGCUCGUUUUUUAUCAGAAGCUUGUGAUUUAGUUUUUGAUGCAGCAAGUCAGGGAAAAAGCUUCUUAAUUGUUGGUACCAAAAAAAGAGUGAAAUGGAUCCAGAGGGACCCCUUUGACAUAAUGGUUCGUGUAUAUAUUUUACAGAAACGUGAAAUCAAAGUUGGGGAUAAAGUAGCCGGAAGACACGGGAAUAAGGGGAUCAUUUCCAAAAUUUUGCCUAGGCAAGAUAUGCCCUAUUUGCAAGAUGGAACACCUGUUGAUAUGGUCUUCAAUCCCUUAGGAGUAUCCUCACGAAUGAAUGUGGGACAAAUAUUUGAAAGCUCGCUCGGAUUAGCAGGGGAUCUGCUAAAGAAACAUUAUAGAAUAGCACCCUUUGAUGAGAGAUAUGAGCAAGAGGCUUCAAGAAAACUUGUGUUUUCGGAAUUAUAUGAAGCCAGUAAACAAACAAAAAAUCCAUGGGUAUUUGAACCCGAGUACCCGGGAAAAAGCAGAAUAUUUGAUGGAAGAACAGGAGAUCCCUUCGAACAGCCUGUUCUAAUAGGGAAGUCCUAUAUCUUAAAAUUAAUUCAUCAAGUUGAUGAGAAAAUUCAUGGACGUUCUACUGGGCCCUACUCACUUGUUACCCAACAACCCGUUAGAGGAAGAGCCAAGCAAGGGGGACAACGAAUAGGAGAAAUGGAAGUUUGGGCUUUAGAAGGAUUUGGUGUUGCUCAUAUUUUACAAGAGAUACUUACUUAUAAAUCUGAUCAUCUUAUAGCUCGCCAAGAAAUACUUAAUGCUACGAUCUGGGGAAAAAGAGGGCCCUUGUCAUUAGACCACUAUGCUUGUCUUUUCCGCCUUGACUCUCGAAUCUUUUGCUUCUCGGGUGGUGGCGAACAAUGCAGCUUGCGUUGCGGGAGAUGCCCGCCCGUCGGGCCCGGCCUGCUUCCUGCCCGAAGAAGGCUAGCCGGACUAGUGGUAGGGGACCUGACCGUAAAAAACCCUACCUUUCGAACCCGCCCGUUCGUUAUAUCUAUAGAUAGAGAGAGAUCCGUGAAAGUCAUUGCCUUAUGUUAUGGUCGCCCCCCGACUGACGGCCUUUACGCAACUACGACUACUGUGAUGUGAGCGGUUCUAUUGGUUUGAUCUUUCCGGCCUCCACUUGUACGAAGAUGCAUGCAUAAAGGGACCCGCCCCUUUAUUUAUCUUGAUUUUCUUUAUUAGGACAGGACCCUACCCUAUUCUCGAACCCUCUGCCGAGCUCUACCCUGCCCGCAUUUAUUUGGAAGGGGGCCAAAGAAAUGUCUCCACCUGCUGCCAACAGUCUUUCUUCGGAAUUCUACUGAACGGGUCGAUCCUCCCCUCCGUUUGUUUUAGCAACUUAUCCUAAGGUCUCUUCGCCAAGAACUCUCCGGCAACGACAGAGGAACUAACCUGCCUGCAAGGAUUUUAUGACAAUUCCAAAACCUUAAGACGACCAAUUUCUAACUAGGCUUGCGUCCUACAUCCAGCAUUGCUCUGAUACCACUUUGUAGUACCCGAUUUUAAGGACAAAACCAGAUAUGCACCAUAUGUGAGUCCUAAAACUCAAAUCUCACAUAUAGCUACAAAUAAGUGUUGACGGUCCUUAAUGCUCACAAUUAACCAUCAACUAAUCAUAGAAAAGGAUCCAAACGCAACCAACACCUAGACUUAGGGUUUUAUCUGACAGAAUUCCACAAGUUUUGGUGUUUGUCUAUUUCUGCAGGGGGUUAUCAGGAAAUACGGAAGAAAGACCCACACAUCGGGUUUACAUAGAGAUAUUAACGUGCCGCACAAUUAUCUGCCAUCUAGAAGAGUCCAGAACCCACGGGAGCGAACGGGAGACGUGACGGGGCCGAGCACUGGGCGCCCGCCCUCCCUUACUGGGCGCCCGCCCUCCCCCCUGGACCAAUCAGGGUGAAGUUCGGGGAUCAUGCUCCACCGACCUAAUACUUCAAGGAAAACCACACGAUCAAUGUCCGUUUGAUCCGACGGCCCAGAUUCAUCUGAAAAGACUAUAUAAGCAAGGCCCCCUGGCCCCUGGAGAUCAUACCUCUUCUACAGAAUCAAAGUUAGGGUUUCAAUUCUUCAUCCAAGUAGAGAUGAUCCCUCUAGUUCUUCUAGUUCUACCUCUAGUUCAUCUAGAUCUAGUUCUAGUUCAUCUAGUUCUAGUUCUAGUUCCUCUAGUUCUAGUUAGUUCUAGUUGUAAUCUAGAAAAUAGGAAGAGAGAAGAGGAGAGCGGAGGAGGAGGAGCCGGAUCUGUCGGAUCUUCCUCAACAUUGUACUUUUGCAGCAACUGGUUCGUUCUUCAUCGUUCUCCAGGUUCUUCAAUUCAUAAUCCUGAGUUCUUUAAUUACUUUUAUUUACAUUCAAGUUAUUUAUUGGAUUCCCGCUUGCAUCAAGUGCUCUAAUCUUUGCAACAUUAGAGUAGUAAUUAAUAGAUUAGACGUGGUGUUUAGUCUUGCAAUUACCUGGAAUUGCACCCAAUCCUGCGGAUUGUUGUGGUAGCCUUAGGGUAGUGACAUCCCUAACGGUCGACAUAUUCCACCACGUUCGGAUCGGUGUUUGUAGGACCGUAGUCGGAGCUUCCUAGCCCCCUUCUCAUCUCUUUCUGUGGUUAGUGUUCUGAUGUCCCGAAAUAGAUAAUCUUGAAGUAAUUCUUGAUUCUUAGAUCAACUAGAGAACUCUCAGGAAACUUCCUCUCUUCCCACCAAAAAUAAUUAUAUAGUUAUCCUUGGGCGAUCUUGGAUCUUAAUUAGUACACUCACGUUCCCUGUGGAAAAUCGAUACUCUGGAAUACUCCCAGGUGAAGGCUACAUCGGUAUCCGUGCGCUUGCUGAUUUUUCUAUUUGCGUUUAAAAUACCCAACAAGCUUUCUGGCGCCGUUGCCGGGGAACGGUAGCUGUGCUAGUUUCGAACCAAGUCGUCCGUGUAUCCUUUUUCUUUUCCUUUUUUACCACACUCACCUUACCAUUUUCACCAUACCACAUGGAUUUCACUCUAAGCAUCAAUGAGCAUGGAAUUUAUUUCAUAGCCACUUCAUUUGCUCCAUGCUCAUAUGCAACAUCUUCCCAAUCCAUUGGUUUUUCCAACAUCACCACAUUCGAGAUCUCCAACCCCCUCAUCCUUUCUAUUUAUAAAAACUUUAAAAGGGCGGUUGUCGAUGCAGAUGUCUAUAUUAAAUAUUGCAGAUCUCGUUGAGUUGAUCUUGAUAUAGGUCAGAGUUGGAGCGGAAACCACUUCGCUGACAUAAAUUAAUGGUUUCCCAAGGACAAGCUUAGUGUCCAAAAAUAAGCACUGAUCAGAUCGUAACAUGAGCUUUGAAUUAUUUGCAACAUUACCUUGUGUGUUGAGCAUAUAAGAAUAAUUGUAAAAAUAUUCCUUCGGGUAUUCUUGUCACUAACCUUUCUAGGAUUGGAGCAAGAAGAUCGGAUGAAUGACAAGCACAAGGUAUGUACAACCAAUCAUCAUACAACAUUGAAUUAAAUUCAUCCAAACUUGAAUUUUGCAAAAUUCAAGCUUAGGGGAGUACUUUAUAUAAAAACAUCAUUUGCCAUGUUGCUAUGUUGGUUGUCCCUACCUUUGAGACAUGCUCAAUUUGUUAAAUAGUAAUCACACUACUUCAUCUCCACUUGAGUAGAUCUCUAUAAAAGUCAUCACGCUACCUUUGUUUAUCCUAGUAAGUGUUAGUUUGGAAGUACUGUACAUACUUCUAUUGGUUUUUAAAUUAAGCAUGGUGCUUAGGUUAAACAGCCUUCCUUAAUCUAAUUAUACAUGGAGUCUAGUUUGGUUAUUGAACUAAAAACUGCUUGUGUAGACAUUGGUAUAUUUUGUUGGACUAACCCCUGCAGGAAAACUUUCAACAUCGACGUGGGAAGUCCUGAGAUAAACUCACAUUGGAGACAAAGAGAGACACACAUGAAGUUUAACAAUUUACACAAGGAAGGCAUAGCUCACAAAAGAUGAUCCAUGGAGGGUGCCACAAACACAAUGCACAACCGCUGAGGGAGGAAAGCUUCCACAAGGUGAUACUGUACCAUCACUCUUCAAGUAAGGUAACAUCUUAAAGUACUUGACUAUCACUUCUAUAAGCUUCUCCUUGGUUCUGGCGUCCACAUGAAUAAAAAAGACAAACAUGUAUGAUUUAUAACUUUAGAUUAACCAACCCGGUCGAUUCAACAUGUUUAGUCCUUCCACCUUUGUGAUCCCUGUUGAUAUUUGGUAACGCAAUAAGGAAAUGAUCCGCAAGCGCACGGAUAUCGGUGAGCAUUUCACCCGGGAGGUUAUCCAGAGUUAUCGUAUUUAUAUUUUUACCACUGGGAGAAAGGGUGCAUCUGACUAACCAAAUCUAUUGCUACUAUCCCUUUAGGCACAAAGAAUGUCUUUCGAUGUGAGUGAUAAAUAGAGAAGACUGCAACCGUAGUCUCCUUCUAACCUUGGUAAGGAUGAUCUACUAUUCUAAUGGGGAGGCUAACGGAAUCUAGACACCACAAAGGAUGUUCAACCCGCACCUAUAAACCCUAUCCUUUCUGCUAACAAGAUGUGAUCUGUAAAGGUAACUCGGAAUUGUCACGUUCCUCACUACUACCAUGGUCCAGCUAGUCAGGCAAUAUCUAUGAGUACCCCAGCUUAAACACCACGUUUACGCCAGCAAUGAUUACUCUAAACUCUAUGCGAAGAGAUUAAAGUAAACUCAUAAACCAUAAGAACAAUAAAACAAGAACUUACUAGAAUUUAGAAGUCGAAAUACUGAAGAAUCCUAGGAGCAAGCUUCGGGUUAGGAGAACGUGAUCCCGCAGGUACAAGCUUGGAGUAGACACCGACAGGCCGGGCUUCCUCCAAUCUACACCUCCACUCUAUCUCUCUCAAUCUAGUAGAAACUAGAAGAUCUAUUUCUACCUUACAUUGGUUGCUAAGCCUAAAAAGAAAUAUUAAUUAGAGAAGAGGUUUUCCUUCGAGGGCACCCCUCAAUCUCUAUGAUAAUUUCUUCAUGUCUUCUCCAGGGGCCAGGGGGUCUCCUUAUAUAGUCCUCCCCUUCUAUGCGUUUUUGGGUCGAUAGGCGAGGUGGUACUAUGUUUUCCUUGAUCCAAUAGGUCGGUGGAACAUCCCGUGCGAAGAGAGUCCCGACUGGCAUCCAACAGGGGGCGGGCGCCCAGGUCACCAGGGCGGGCGCCCUGGGCCUGGCCCCUUUCGGCCUCCGUCUUCUUCCCAUGGCUUCUGGAGUCUUCUAGAUGGUAGAAAAUCGUGCGGUGCGUUGAUAUCUCUAUGUAAUCCCGACAUGUGGGCCUUUCUUCCGUAUUUCCUGAUAACCCCCUGCAGAAAUAGACAAACACCAAAACUCGUGGAAUUCUGUCAGAUAAAACCCUAAGUCUAGAUGUUGAUUUCAUUUGGAUCCUUUUCUUUGUUUAUUUGAUAAUUAAAUUUGAUACUUAAGGACCGUCAACAAGCUCCCCCAAGCUUACCUCUUGCUCGUCCCUGAGCAAGGAUAGACUCAACAGUGGAUCAGAAGUUGUUGCAAUAUCUUAAAGAUUUGACGGUACACAUGCUUUUAAUUUAGAUCUCAUCUCUGAGUUAGAGUAAACUGUCAAGAACUAAAACUUACUUACUUUACCUUUCACCAUGGGACUUGUAACCGUCACUUCUGUCUUAAGAGGUUAAAAGAUAGAACAGUCUAGCCAAGUGCAAUGUCUCUUAUUCUUGAUCAGCUAUAGCUCUGGGUUUUUUUUUGCAGAUUUUCAAAUAAAACUCAGAGAUUCCUUGUAUGACUCUCUCAUAUCUCUCUUUUGUGGUAUUUCUGGAUCCUUACCAAGGCAUUGAUGGUAUAUGCAUUCUCUCAAGAUAUGUGGUAUUUGUGGUAUAAGGCAUAGUGACAUUGCCUUCUCUCUCACCCUACUCUAAUAAGGCUUGAUAUCUGGAGCUCAUAGGUGGGAGACAGUUAAUACAUACUUAUAAGACAUUUAUUGCAUAGUCAAACCAUGGAUCCAGAGAAACAAAUCAAUAAGCCAAAUCAAGAUGUGCAUGUGUGGCGAAUGAAUGGUGUAUGGUGAUGAUGGUAAUAACAAUGGUGAAAGUCUAAUUCUACUUUUGCUCUUUCGAGGGGAUACAUACCUUCCUUGCUUUUUUAAACUUUAUGAGGAGAAUGAGAUGCUCUUCUUUUUCUUUCCUCUCAGGUGGGUAUCUUGUAACCCUAAUUCUACUGUCGGACACUUGUCCAUUUUUACCUCUCGUCUCACUUUUUCUUUCUUUCGAGGUUCCGGGCACUUGCCCCUUUUUAUUUCCUCGUUUAUAUUUUUUUUUCUUCUCUUUUCUUUCUCUUUUUUUUCAGAGCACUCAUCUCUUGAGGUAAUAUAGCAAGUGGUAGUAACCAAAAUAUUUGGAGCAUUUAUUUCACAGGGAAUAACAGGGAUAGAAAAAUAUUUUUGACUAUUCUCUCCCGGAUUAGGAGUAGAAUAUUUUUAGGUGAUUCUGGAGAUGGAAAUGGAUGGAUAUAUGUGGAUGGUACUUCCGGAGUAGAAGUAGCAUAUAUGAGUGAACGUGCAAGUGAAUCUUGAUUUAACCACAUGACAAGCUCCUAAGGGUCUACACAGCUUGACCACACUCAAUGCUCAUAAGCAGUAAAUAGUAAAUGUGUUGGUCAAAGUCUAGCAAGCAUGUAUAUAUGGCUGUGGUAGGAAUUUAAACUCUCAUCAUACAGGAACUCAUCAUGCAAUAUUUUAAAGAUUUUUCAAGAUAAAAUUUUCCAGAAUUCUAGCAUCUCAAGGAACAGAUAAACAGCAGCUCAACCUUCCCAUAUCAUAUCCGUUAACAACUUAGAUUUCAGAUCAAGUUUUCAUCCCACAAGUUUGGAUCUAGAGCAAGCUUUAAAUUAUAACAGUUAUGUCUAAACUUGAGAGAGAACUUCAAAAUUGCAAAUUAGGUAGAGCAACUAUUCAUCAUAUCCAUGCUAGAGUUUUAUUAUUAAGAUUCAGAUUAGCAUAGCCACUUUAUUUAUUUAUUAAACAUACUAAGCAAAAGAUAUAUAUAAGCACAAAAUCUUUAUUUGGUUUUUCAUAGUUUAUGUAUUUUAAUAUUCUAACAUAAUAUAAGUAUAAAGAUAGGUAGAAAUACUUAGCGAGAAUAAUGGGGGUGCUUUCCCCCAAGCUGAAUUUUGACGUAAUUUCUCUUGAUGUAGCUAGCAGGCGGCAGAGGUGUAUUUGAAAGUCAGCAGCAUUCUGACAGCGAUUAGAAUGUCCUCCGUCUGCUAGUCUUCUUGAUUCUUAAAUUCUGUGGAGCUCAAAUAGACAACAAAGCUUGUGGAACUAAUUAAGUGUUAGCAUAAAUAUCUAGCCUUCAUCAUGUUGAGCUUCCUUAAUAAAUGUUAUUUAUUUAGCAGGAUCAUACACUUAUUAUAUAUAUAUUAUAUAUAUUUUUAUUGUAAGAUGAAAACUUAUUUAUUUUAUUUUUAUGCCACCACAGUGAAUGUACUUAUGGGUUUUAUGCCAUGAGCAUACUCACAUGGGGCUUACUAUUUUUUUAACAUUUUUAUUUUCUUUUCAAGAUAGCAUGAACCUGAUUAACUAAGCAAAUUGUAAUUGAAUAAUUGAAAGGAAAGGGUAACUACCAAGUUUACCUCUUGGCAAGGCGUUCGGUAUUUUUAUGUCCUCCGAACGGGACUCUCUGUUUUCUCAGUCGUCCUGGGAUUCGCUAGGUGGCGUAGUCGGUGAUUCCGGCGGCGCCUCUCUUCGUGUAUAACUAUCUUCUCCCUCUACACCUGACUCGGUGCUACGGUCUCCUCAGGACAGUUCUGUUCAAGCUGUAUGUCUUCAGUCCUUAUCACUUUUCCUUCGUAGUCUACCCAUCCGUUCUUGAUGAUUUGCCUCCUCUGGUUGCGGUUGCGUCGUCUUCUUGUCCUGACCUGCUUAGAGUCUUCAACUAUAUAGUUAUGGUCAGUAAAAUAGUUGCGUACCUUCUCAGAGGGGAAGUACAUGUGGACUUCUCCGGUUCCAAUGUAGAUGAUUGCUU
This 33537-nucleotide long non-coding RNA is filed under the name Sorghum bicolor (sorghum). RNAcentral's name for it is "long non-coding RNA (SBIC_LNC006178)". The record is from RNAcentral. Lineage: Eukaryota; Viridiplantae; Streptophyta; Magnoliopsida; Poales; Poaceae.